RNAcentral lists this ribosomal RNA (448 nucleotides) under uncultured bacterium. Its description in RNAcentral is "bacterial SSU rRNA". It matches the Rfam family "Bacterial small subunit ribosomal RNA", at positions 355 to 825 of the family's 1533-position model. The record is from RNAcentral.
UCGGGAAUUUUGGGCAAUGGGCGAAAGCCUGACCCAGCAACGCCGCGUGAAGGAUGAAGUAUUUCGGUAUGUAAACUUCGAAAGAAUAGGAAGAAUAAAUGACGGUACUAUUUAUAAGGUCCGGCUAACUACGUGCCAGCAGCCGCGGUAAUACGUAGGGACCAAGCGUUGUUCGGAUUUAUUGGGCGUAAAGGGCGCGUAGGCGGCAAUUCAAGUCAUCUGUGAAAUCUCCGGGCUUAACUCGGAACGGUCAGAUGAUACUGCUUUGCUAGAGUGCAGAAGGGGCAAUCGGAAUUCUUGGUGUAGCGGUGAAAUGCGUAGAUAUCUGGAGGAACACCGGUGGCGAAGGCGGCAUCCUGGACCGGUAUUGACGCUGAGUGAGCGAAAGCCAGGGGAGCAAACGGGAUUAGAUACCCCAGUAGUCCCUGAGCGGGCUGGCAAGGCGCAU